This 217-nucleotide ribosomal RNA is filed under the name uncultured bacterium. Its description in RNAcentral is "partial 16S ribosomal RNA". It matches the Rfam family "Bacterial small subunit ribosomal RNA", at positions 114 to 334 of the family's 1533-position model. The record is from RNAcentral.
UGCAUCGGAACGUGCCCAAUGGUGGGGGAUAGCCCGGCGAAAGCCGGAUUAAUACCGCAUGAGACCCACGGGUAAAAGCGGGGGACCGUAAGGCCUCGCGCCAUUGGAGCGGCCGAUGUCGGAUUAGGUUGUUGGUGAGGUAAAGGCUCACCAAGCCGACGAUCUGUAGCUGGUCUGAGAGGACGACCAGCCACACUGGGACUGAGACACGGCCCAG